Molecule: long non-coding RNA, 889 nt
Organism: Balaenoptera ricei (Rice's whale)
Lineage: Eukaryota; Metazoa; Chordata; Mammalia; Artiodactyla; Balaenopteridae
Exons: 4
Source: RefSeq, a predicted model, not a curated record
GUCUGGCAGGCGGCCCGCGGGCGGCUGUGGGCGGGAGCUCGGCCCUCCGGGUCCGCCCGCGCCCGGGAGCCGGCGGCCAGGGGACCCGCUGCCAAGGAGGGGGCGGCGGCGGGGCCGGGAACGCGCGGCCCGGCCUAGCUGAGGAGCCAGCAGGCCCCCACAGGCCCUGGUACAGUGCCUCCAGGGACUUAAACCUGCCUCAGCUACGUGAUUACCCUGAUCUAUCUGCUGGGAGAUGAGCAAAGCUCGGAGAGGGACCAGAUCUCAGCAGAGACCAAACCAGCAGCAGUUCCUGAACACCCACCCCCCAGUGCUUCCAGAAGUGCAACAUGGACCAACCUGUGAGCAUUUGCUCCUCCUCAGAUGGGUAGCUUGAAGCCCAGAUUGAGACUCCUGUUUCUCCUCUCUGUUCACUCAUCCCUACUUCCUUUGGUAGUUUCCCUUCUCCAUAUAGCCAAAUUUUAAAGCCUAGAAGCCCUACUCCACUGAGCCAGCCUCUGACUUGCUCUUGAAUGAGGUUAUUGCUCUCCUAACCGGUGCCAGGUAUGCAAGAUCAAGGUGGGGAGGCUUAGUUUCUGCUCUUCCAUCUGGACCAUUCUAUUGACUCAAACGCAAGCAGAUAUAGAAAGAGAAUCAACUUGGGAAUUAGGCCUGGAAUAAAAUUUGGCUUCACCACUAAAGAGCUGCUACUUAACCUCUUUUGGCCUGUUGUAUUAUAAAAUGGGAAGCACCAUCUACCUCCAUGGAAUGUUGAGGUAACAUGGCAUAACACCUUUUCUUAAAAAAGGGCAGGUUUCCCUUUGGCAUGCAUGUAGAAUAGAGUAAGAUACAAAUUAGUUUGGCCCUAGCAACUGGAACCUCUUUCCUCUGGUGUUAACACUGGGAUCAU